RNAcentral lists this ribosomal RNA (751 nucleotides) under Streptomyces albogriseolus. RNAcentral describes it as "bacterial SSU rRNA". It matches the Rfam family "Bacterial small subunit ribosomal RNA", at positions 40 to 807 of the family's 1533-position model. The record is from RNAcentral. Lineage: Bacteria; Bacillati; Actinomycetota; Actinomycetes; Kitasatosporales; Streptomycetaceae.
GGGUGGGGCUCUACCAUGCAGUCGACGAUGACCACUUCGGUGGGGAUUAGUGGCGAACGGGUGAGUAACACGUGGGCAAUCUGCCCUGCACUCUGGGACAAGCCCUGGAAACGGGGUCUAAUACCGGAUACUGACCCGCCUGGGCAUCCAGGCGGUUCGAAAGCUCCGGCGGUGCAGGAUGAGCCCGCGGCCUAUCAGCUUGUUGGUGAGGUAACGGCUCACCAAGGCGACGACGGGUAGCCGGCCUGAGAGGGCGACCGGCCACACUGGGACUGAGACACGGCCCAGACUCCUACGGGAGGCAGCAGUGGGGAAUAUUGCACAAUGGGCGAAAGCCUGAUGCAGCGACGCCGCGUGAGGGAUGACGGCCUUCGGGUUGUAAACCUCUUUCAGCAGGGAAGAAGCGAAAGUGACGGUACCUGCAGAAGAAGCGCCGGCUAACUACGUGCCAGCAGCCGCGGUAAUACGUAGGGCGCGAGCGUUGUCCGGAAUUAUUGGGCGUAAAGAGCUCGUAGGCGGCUUGUCACGUCGGUUGUGAAAGCCCGGGGCUUAACCCCGGGUCUGCAGUCGAUACGGGCAGGCUAGAGUUCGGUAGGGGAGAUCGGAAUUCCUGGUGUAGCGGUGAAAUGCGCAGAUAUCAGGAGGAACACCGGUGGCGAAGGCGGAUCUCUGGGCCGAUACUGACGCUGAAGGAGCGAAAGCGUGGGGGAGCGAACAGGAAUUAUAUACCCUGGUAGUCCACGCCGUAAAA